Molecule: ribosomal RNA, 429 nt
Filed under: Bacillota bacterium
Lineage: Bacteria; Bacillati; Bacillota
Description: Firmicutes bacterium partial 16S ribosomal RNA
Rfam family: Bacterial small subunit ribosomal RNA
Source: RNAcentral
UAGGGAAUCUUCGGCAAUGGACGGAAGUCUGACCGAGCAACGCCGCGUGAGUGAAGAAGGUUUUCGGAUCGUAAAGCUCUGUUGUUAGAGAAGAACGUUGGUAGGAGUGGAAAAUCUACCAAGUGACGGUAACUAACCAGAAAGGGACGGCUAACUACGUGCCAGCAGCCGCGGUAAUACGUAGGUCCCGAGCUUUGUCCGGAUUUAUUUGGCGUAAAGCUAGCGCAGGCGGUUCUUUAAGUCUGAAGUUAAAGGCAGUCGCUUACCCAUUUUACGCUUUGGAAACUCUCGGACUUUCUUGCAGCAGGUGAGAGUGCAAUUCCCUGUGUAGCGGUCCGAUUCGUCGAUCUAUGGGUGACCACCGGUGGCUAGAGCGGUUCUCUGGUCUGUAACUGACGCUGAGGCUCGAAAGCGUGGGGAGCAAACAGG